UACGUAGGGAGCUAGCGUUGUUCGGAAUUACUGGGCGUAAAGCGCACGUAGGCGGCUUUGUAAGUUAGAGGUGAAAGCCUGGGGCUCAACCCCAGAAUUGCCUUUGAUACUGCAUGGCUUGAAUCCAGGAGAGGUGAGUGGAAUUCCGAGUGUAGAGGUGAAAUUCGUAGAUAUUCGGAAGAACACCAGUGGCGAAGGCGGCUCACUGGACUGGUAUUGACGCUGAGGUGCGAAAGCGUGGGGAGCAAACAGG
RNAcentral lists this ribosomal RNA (253 nucleotides) under uncultured bacterium. Its description in RNAcentral is "partial 16S ribosomal RNA". It matches the Rfam family "Bacterial small subunit ribosomal RNA", at positions 524 to 776 of the family's 1533-position model. The record is from RNAcentral.